GACGAACGCUGGCGGCGUGCCUAAUACAUGCAAGUAGAACGCUGAAGGAGGAGCUUGCUUCUCUGGAUGAGUUGCGAACGGGUGAGUAACGCGUAGGUAACCUGCCUGGUAGCGGGGGAUAACUAUUGGAAACGAUAGCUAAUACCGCAUAAUAGUAGAUGUCGCAUGACAUUUGCUUAAAAGGUGCAAUUGCAUCACUACCAGAUGGACCUGCGUUGUAUUAGCUAGUUGGUGAGGUAACGGCUCACCAAGGCAACGAUACAUAGCCGACCUGAGAGGGGGAUCGGCCACACUGGGACUGAGACACGGCCCAGACUCCUACGGGAGGCAGCAGUAGGGAAUCUUCGGCAAUGGACGGAAGUCUGACCGAGCAACGCCGCGUGAGUGAAGAAGGUUUUCAGAUCGUAAAGCUCUGUUGUAAGAGAAGAACGAGUGUGAGAGUGGAAAGUUCACACUGUGACGGUAUCUUACCAGAAAGGGACGGCUAACUACGUG
This 495-nucleotide ribosomal RNA is filed under the name uncultured bacterium. RNAcentral's name for it is "partial 16S ribosomal RNA". It matches the Rfam family "Bacterial small subunit ribosomal RNA", at positions 28 to 507 of the family's 1533-position model. The record is from RNAcentral.